RNAcentral lists this ribosomal RNA (931 nucleotides) under Hyphoderma setigerum. Its description in RNAcentral is "LSU rRNA". It matches the Rfam family "Eukaryotic large subunit ribosomal RNA", at positions 38 to 960 of the family's 3401-position model. Lineage: Eukaryota; Fungi; Basidiomycota; Agaricomycetes; Polyporales; Hyphodermataceae. The record is from RNAcentral.
GCAUAUCAUAGCGGAGAAAAGAACUAACAAGGAUUCCCCUAGUAACUGCGAAGUGAAGCGGGAAAAGCUCCAAAUUUAAAAUCUGGCAGUCUUUGGCUGUCCGAGUUGUAAUCUAGAGAAGCGUUUUCCGCGCUGGACCGUGUAUAAGUUCUUUGGAAUAGGACAUCAUGGAGGGUGAGAAUCCCGUCUUUGACACGGACUCCCAGUGCUUUGUGAUGCGCUCUCAAAGAGUCGAGUUGUUUGGGAAUGCAGCUCAAAAUGGGUGGUAAAUUCCAUCUAAAGCUAAAUAUUGGCGAGAGACCGAUAGCGAACAAGUACCGUGAGGGAAAGAUGAAAAGCACUUUGGAAAGAGAGUUAAACAGUACGUGAAAUUGCUGAAAGGGAAACACUUGAAGUCAGUCGCGUUAUUCAGAACUCAGCCUGGCUUUUGCUUGGUGUAUUUUCUGUUUAACGGGCCAGCAUCAAUUUUGAUCAUUGGAAAAAGGCCAGAGGAAUGUGGCAUCUUCGGGUGUGUUAUAGACUCUGGUUGCAUACAAUGGUUGGGAUUGAGGAUCUCAGCAUGCCUUUUGGCCGGGGUUCGCCCACGUUCAUGCUUAGGAUGCUGGCGUAAUGGCUUUAAAUGACCCGUCUUGAAACACGGACCAAGGAGUCUAACAUGCCUGCGAGUGUUUGGGUGGAAAACCCGAGCGCGUAAUGAAAGUGAAAGUCGAGAUCCCUGUCGUGGGGAGCACCGACGCCCGGACUUGAACUUCUGUGACGGCUCCGCGGUAGAGCAUGUAUGUUGGGACCCGAAAGAUGGUGAACUAUGCCUGAAUAGGGUGAAGCCAGAGGAAACUCUGGUGGAGGCUCGUAGCGAUUCUGACGUGCAAAUCGAUCGUCAAAUUUGGGUAUAGGGGCGAAAGACUAAUCGACAUCUAGUAGCUGGUCUGCG